RNAcentral lists this ribosomal RNA (474 nucleotides) under uncultured bacterium. RNAcentral describes it as "bacterial SSU rRNA". It matches the Rfam family "Bacterial small subunit ribosomal RNA", at positions 28 to 500 of the family's 1533-position model. The record is from RNAcentral.
GAUGAACGCUGGCGGCGUGCUUAACACAUGCAAGUCGAACGAAGCACUUUAUUUGAUUUCCUUCGGGACUGAUUAUUUUGUGACUGAGUGGCGGACGGGUGAGUAACGCGUGGGUAACCUGCCUUGUACAGGGGGAUAACAGUUGGAAACGACUGCUAAUACCGCAUAAGCGCACAGUAUCGCAUGAUGCAGUGUGAAAAACUCCGGUGGUAUAAGAUGGACCCGCGUUGGAUUAGCUAGUUGGUGAGGUAACGGCCCACCAAGGCGACGAUCCAUAGCCGACCUGAGAGGGUGACCGGCCACAUUGGGACUGAGACACGGCCCAAACUCCUACGGGAGGCAGCAGUGGGGAAUAUUGCACAAUGGGCGAAAGCCUGAUGCAGCGACGCCGCGUGAGCGAAGAAGUAUUUCGGUAUGUAAAGCUCUAUCAGCAGGGAAGAUAAUGACGGUACCUGACUAAGAAGCACCGGCUAA